CAUUUGGAAACGAAUGCUAAUACUCUAUAUGCCUUUAAGACAAAAGUCUGCAAGGGAAAUAUUUGUAGCUCUAGGAUCGGCCUGUACGGUAUCAGUUUGUUGGUGAGGUAAUGGCUCACCAAGACUAUGACGCCUAACUGGUUUGAGAGGAUGAUCAGUCACACUGGAACUGAGACACGGUCCAGACUCCUACGGGAGGCAGCAGUGGGGAAUAUUGCACAAUGGGGGAAACCCUGAUGCAGCAACGCCGCGUGGAGGAUGACACAUUUCGGUGCGUAAACUCCUUUUAUAUAGGAAGAUAAUGACGGUACUAUAUGAAUAAGCACCGGCUAACUCCGUGCCAGCAGCCGCGGUAAUACGGAGGGUGCAAGCGUUACUCGGAAUCACUGGGCGUAAAGAGCGUGUAGGCGGGUUGAUAAGUUUGAAGUGAAAUCCAAUGGCUCAACCAUUGAACUGCUUUGAAAACUGUUAACCUAGAGUAUGGGAGAGGUAGAUGGAAUUUCUGGUGUAGGGGUAAAAUCCGUAGAGAUCAGAAGGAAUACCGAUUGCGAAGGCGAUCUACUGGAA
Molecule: ribosomal RNA, 567 nt
Filed under: uncultured Arcobacter sp.
Lineage: Bacteria; Pseudomonadati; Campylobacterota; Epsilonproteobacteria; Campylobacterales; Arcobacteraceae
Description: bacterial SSU rRNA
Rfam family: Bacterial small subunit ribosomal RNA
Source: RNAcentral